RNAcentral lists this unclassified non-coding RNA (2031 nucleotides) under Daphnia pulex (common water flea). RNAcentral describes it as "uncharacterized LOC124194483, transcript variant X3". Lineage: Eukaryota; Metazoa; Arthropoda; Branchiopoda; Diplostraca; Daphniidae. The record is from RNAcentral.
UCGUCUGCUACCAAGACGUUUACACUGCGACGUUUCGCACACACCGAUUUCGCAGUUUAGUACGGACCCAAAGACUAAAAUGCGAAACAGGGUCCCAACUUUUGGGUCCGUUUCGCACAGCUGUUUCGCAUUUUAGGCGUUUCGCGUUUCGCGUUUCGCUUUCGCAUUUUAGGGACGCCCCGAAAGUUCGUCUGCGAGUUAGCUUAGAAUUCACGACGGCCAUCGGCCAACUGCUCGGGAGCAGGAUGGAGACAUUUGACUGACUCACCAUUUUGAGUUUAAUUUUUGGCUGUUGGUGUCUUGGUGAUGUGUGGUGGUUUCUUGGUGAUGGUGAUGAGAAGAUGAUGUGAUUAUAUAGUGAAGAGAAUAUUGCCCAAGAAAUUGUUCGAUAUGUAAUAACGGGAACGGGAAACCCAGGAACUGAAGGAUCAAGCCCACGAUUUCCCCUCUACCUCUCUGCUAUGCUGACUCAUGGCGCCAUUGUUGCUCAAGUGACUCGUACAGUCGUACUCUUGCUAAUGGCCUAAUGUCAGGCUGACUUUUCAGCAAAGAGUGGCAGAGAAGAAACUAGAAUCCAAUCAGCUGUAAUGUACUAGACUUGUCUGAUGCUGUGAUUUGAGCAAGGAAAAACUUGUUGAGUCACUUGAGUGAGGGUUUGUAGUUUGGAGGAUAGUGAGCUUGGAUAACGGUGGUUGCAGAGGAAUUUUGUUUUUCAAAAAACCGACUUUCCUUCAAAUGGUUCGAAAUAGAAGAUUAAUUCAUUCACCGAAGAAACGAGUCAAAUGACUCAAAUGUUAAUUGCAACGUCAACCUGCAGGAGGAAGGGCCAGUUUACAUAUCUUUCAUAAUCGAAGGUCACGGAGAUCAUUACGUAAAACGUGUCAUGCAGUGGUGUAGAGGUUGGGUGAGAACGGGAUGUGUUACAUAACCAUUUGGUAUUCAUUUUGAUAUUGGUUGUUGCUGACCCAUCCCCAGCAACGCCCACCUGCAAAAGGAAAGGCCAGUUUGCAUGUGUUUCACUUGAAGGUCACAAAAAAACGUGUCAUGCAGUGGUGUAGAGGUUGGGUGAGAACGACACGUGUUGCUUCAUUAUCAAGCAGGUACUAUAGCCGCAAGGCUCAAGAGGUGAGGGUGAGGAAAAAUCGUAUAAAAGGAGAGAGAAAAGGCGAAGGGAAAUCAGUCGAGUGAGCAUCUCCGACACGGCAACAACUGCAGCACACUUUUUUCAACUACCUUCUUCAUCGCAUAAACGGUUCGCAAUCAUAGUUAGCCAUGGCGUUGUGUUGCUGUUGGGUGUUAGCACGAGUGUUAGUGUGAGCACGAAAGAAAAGGAGACAGCAAAAUUUUGUCGAGCGUAAACUAUGCCGUCGUGCUGCAUUGCUGUUCUUGGUUGUUGUGUCGUUGAUCGCUGGGUCUUACACUACAGCUACUGCACUUGCCCUGAAGUAUUAUUCUUCUUCCCCGAGCUAGACUACUAAUAAAGCGCCUGAAUACUACACCGAUGCUCCAAAGUACUACUCUGCUCUCAGCUACACCGAUUCUCCAGCUUAUUACAACACUAAAGUGGUCGAAUACUACACAGAAGUGCCCCAGUACGAUAGAAAGCAGUCGAGUGUUCAUCUCCGACACCCGACACAGCAACAGCUGCAGCGCAAUAUUUGUCACCAACUGUAUUCUUCGUCGUAAUACCGAUUCGUUAACUUACUAUGGCGCCGUGCUGUUUUUGGGAGUUGUGUCGUUGAUGGCUGGGUCGACCACUGGUGUACCGAUGUCUCCUGGUUAUGGUGAGUACCAAACCGUAACGACGCCGCCUUACUACAUAACCAAGUCACAACGAAGGCUCCCAAGUACUACACCACCGAGUUGUCUGCCCCAGCCUACUACACCGACGCGUUCAAGUACUACUCUGUUCCAAGCUACUACCAAACUCAGGCUUCUGUUUCCGACAACAACAUACGAAGGCAGCGGAGUCCUACACCACGAAGGCAGCGGAGUCCUACACCACGAAGGCAGCGGAGUCCUACACCACGA